This is a long non-coding RNA of Quercus robur (English oak), 856 nucleotides long. RefSeq lists it as uncharacterized. The transcript has 3 exons. The record is from RefSeq and is a predicted model, not a curated record. Lineage: Eukaryota; Viridiplantae; Streptophyta; Magnoliopsida; Fagales; Fagaceae.
AGAAACACUCAUACCUUUCUCGGCCUUUUGGCUAAGAUCAAGUGUAGUAUCUGUUCUUAUCAGUUUAAUAUCUGAUAUGUGGGUCAUCGGCCCACACGAUAUUAAAUUUAUUUCUUGAGGGGGAGAGCCCACCACAGUAGCUUGCUACUGGGGCUCGCAAGCGUCGCCCAUGCGUUGCACUACUGCACGGGCCUGGCGCACCCCACCCAAUUCUAGUACGAAGCUUCACAUGUUUGCUUAAUUUAUGUGGAUGACCCAAAUCUUCUGUAUGUUUUCUAAAGUCAUUAAGGUUUCUCUAUGUUUUCUAAGCCAUUAAGCUGCAGUCAGUUGCUUUCUGUAUGUUAAUCACAGCUGAAUUAAUAGUGUAGAAUAAAGCAUCCAACCAUGUCAAAUGAUCCACGAACAGUUAUGUGAAGUGUCAGCCAAUUAUUGUACUCACCAUGUGAAGCCUGGUUGUAACGGGUAGCAUUAUUGUACCAGUUUGUUCGUGCAAGAAGACUAAUCAGAGCCAUUCCUAGUAUUAUAUAAAAGAGGAAGAGUGUUUGCUCAAAAAAAAGAAAAGAGGAAGAGUGUGGAGUGAAAGAGCAAUCGUUGACAGUCUUGCCUAGUUGCCUUUAUCAUGUUGAAUUAAUAAAACUUGUGUUUUGGUAUAACUCGGUAGUUCUUGUUGCUUCAUUUAACUUGUACAAUAGAAGUCUCAUAGUACAAUAAUACAUGAAUAGGUGUCCCAAUAAUGCAUGGAUAUGUACAACUAUUUUAAUUCGUGGGAGCCAUACUGUUUACAAGGAUCCACCAAGCUUCACGCAUGCGGAUCCUAUCUCUCCAUUUGGUUAAUGAGAUUGUGAAAUUCUUGUUA